This 1234-nucleotide long non-coding RNA is filed under the name Gopherus agassizii (Agassiz's desert tortoise). Its description in RNAcentral is "lncRNA (ENSGAGG00000003316.1)". The record is from RNAcentral. Lineage: Eukaryota; Metazoa; Chordata; Testudines; Testudinidae.
GGCAAUUCUUCAACAAAAAAAAUUCAAAAACAGACUCCAAUGUGAAACUGCAGAACUGGAAUUAAUUUGCAAACUGGACACCAUCAGAUUAGGCCUGAAUAAAGACUGGGAGUGGUUGGGUCAUUACAAAACCUAAACCUAAUUUCUUCCUACUGUUGUUCACACCUUCUUGCCAACUGUCUGAAAUGGGCCAUUCUCAUUACUACUUCAAAAGUUAUUUUUCCUUGUUUGGUAUCCUACUGUUAAAUUAAUUGUCUCGUUAGACUGACCUCAGACUUGAUAAAGCAACUCCCAUCCUUUCAUGUAUUUAUACCAGCUCCUGGUAUAUUUUCCUCUCUAUUUUCCACUCCAUGCAUCUGAUGAAGUGGGUUCUAGCCAAUGAAAGCUUAUGCCCAAAUAAAUUUGUUAGUCUCUAAGGUGCCACAAGGACUCCUCAUUUUUGUUGAGUCAUAGAAGUGAUUUUAAAAAAACCAAACCCUUUUAGGGUACUCCUGUCAAAGUUGAACAUACANUUGAGUCAUAGAAGUGAUUUAAAAAAAACCAAACCCUUUUAGGGUACUCCUGUCAAAGUUGAACAUACACUAUUUCUAGCACAGUGAACAUAGAUAGCUUGGAAUAUUAUAGCAGUUAAGAAAUUGAAUUAUUGAUUUUGUUUAGAUGUAUUGCUGCUGCAGUGUUUGGCUCUCAAAUCACAAUACUAGGAAACAUCUGAUCUUCAAACUUGCAAGGUUUUUUUUUUUAAAUGAUUUUGGGAGCCUUUAAUCCUCAAUUUGUACCUUUCUUCCGAAGUGACAUUAAUGCAAUAUUCUAAUCUAGUCACUUAGGUUUUAUUCUUUCCAAUUACAUAUUUAAUAAACUAGUUUUUAUUGUAUUUUAGAUAUGAACAAAAUAGGAAGCUGUCACCUUGAUAGAGAAAUCUGAGUACGAAUCGGACGCGUCUGAUCCAAUCUGCAUACAGAGGAAAACAGAUAGUUUUCAAAGUUGCUGGAGCCCAGCUGUCACUACAACUUUCGAGAGACCUGGAUUGUUUUCUCUUCUUCCCUUUCUUCACCCAAAUAAAAGUAAAUACAGAAGUGAGUCUCCUUAUUUACCUGAUCUGGUCCCGGUUUGAGGGAGAAGAGAUGCUGCCCAUGGGAAAGGGUGAUGCUGCACAAUGGAAGAAUUCAGAAUGGACAGGAAGUCCUCAGACUUUUGGGUGGGGGGAGAGAGGAAGAGAGGAGUAAAGACUUCAGCU